CAGUGGGGAAUAUUGCACAAUGGGGGAAACCCUGAUGCAGCCAUGCCGCGUGUGUGAAGAAGGCCUUCGGGUUGUAAAGCACUUUCAGUAGGGAGGAAGGUAGUGUAGUUAACACCUGCACUAUUUGACGUUACCUACAGAAGAAGCACCGGCUAACUCCGUGCCAGCAGCCGCGGUAAUACGGAGGGUGCGAGCGUUAAUCGGAAUUACUGGGCGUAAAGCGCAUGCAGGCGGCCUGUUAAGUCAGAUGUGAAAGCCCGGGGCUUAACCUCGGAAUUGCAUUUGAAACUGGCAGGCUAGAGUCUUGUAGAGGGGGUAGAAUUUCAGGUGUAGCGGUGAAAUGCGUAGAGAUCUGAAGGAAUACCAGUGGCGAAGGCGGCCCCCUGGACAAAGACUGACGCUCAGAUGCGAAAGCGUGGGGAGCAAACAGGAUUAGAUACCCUGGUAG
RNAcentral lists this ribosomal RNA (448 nucleotides) under uncultured bacterium. RNAcentral's name for it is "bacterial SSU rRNA". It matches the Rfam family "Bacterial small subunit ribosomal RNA", at positions 352 to 793 of the family's 1533-position model. The record is from RNAcentral.